GAAUGGGGAGCCCGAUUCGUACGGGCUGAGAGGAAGGUUUGACCUUCGACCCUUAAAACCUGAUUUGGAUAAUGCCAACGUAGGGAAAACGAAAG
This 95-nucleotide non-coding RNA is filed under the name bovine gut metagenome. Its description in RNAcentral is "TPP riboswitch (THI element)". The stretch from base 4 to 86 matches the Rfam family "TPP riboswitch aptamer (THI element)", at positions 11 to 88 of the family's 105-position model. Rfam says of the family: Vitamin B(1) in its active form thiamin pyrophosphate (TPP) is an essential coenzyme that is synthesised by coupling of pyrimidine and thiazole moieties in bacteria. The previously detected thiamin-regulatory element, thi box was extended, resulting in a new, highly conserved RNA secondary structure, the THI element, which is widely distributed in eubacteria and also occurs in some archaea. The record is from RNAcentral.